Unclassified non-coding RNA from Papio anubis (olive baboon), 117 nucleotides. It matches the Rfam family "Metazoan signal recognition particle RNA". From Rfam's summary of the family: The signal recognition particle (SRP) is a universally conserved ribonucleoprotein. The record is from Ensembl. NCBI's taxonomy places the organism in Eukaryota, Metazoa, Chordata, Mammalia, Primates, Cercopithecidae.
GCUGGGCGUGGUGGCACACGCCUGUAAUCCCAGCACUUUGGGAGGCCGAGGUGGGAGGAUCGCUUGAGCUCAGGACUUUGAGACCAGCCUGGGCAACAGAGCGAGACCCCAUCUCUG